Molecule: ribosomal RNA, 763 nt
Filed under: uncultured organism
Description: bacterial SSU rRNA
Rfam family: Bacterial small subunit ribosomal RNA
Source: RNAcentral
GGCCUUCUAGGAUCGUUCCUGACGCUGAAGGCGAUAAGCUAGGGGAGCGAACGAGAUUAGAUACCCCGGUAGUCCUAGCUGUAAACGAUGGAUGCUGGGUGUGGGGGGUGUAAAUUCCCUGUGUUCCGAAAGCAAACGCAUUAAGCAUCCCACAUGGGGACUACGGCCGGCAAGACUUCAACUCAAACGAAAUUGACUGGGACCGCACACGCAGCGGAGCGUGUGGGUUUAAUUCGAUGCUACACGAAACCCUUACCUGGGUUUGACAUGCUCGUGGUAGGGAACCCGAAAGACGUCCGACCUUCGGGAGCGUGCACAGGUGCUGCAUGGCUGUCGUCAGCUCGUGCCGUGAGGUGUCGGGUUAAGUUCCGUAACGAGCGCAACCCUUGCCCUUAGUUACAAGUGUCUAAGGGGACUGCCCGGGACAACUGGGAGGAAGGAGGGGAUGACGUCAAGUCAGCAUGAGUUUUAUAUCCAGGGCUACACACACGCUACAAUGGCCGGUACAAUAGGUUGCGAAGUCGUGAGGCGGAGCCAAUCCUCAAAGCCGGUCUCAGUUCGAAUUGCAGUCUGCAACUCGACUGCAUGAAGCUGGAGUUGCUAGUAAUCGCAGGUCAGCUAUACCGCGGUGAAUACGUUCCCGGGCCCCCUACACACCGCCCCACACGUCAUUGAAGCCUUCACCACCUGAAGCCGGUGAGCUAACCCGAAAGGGAGGCAGCCGUCGAGGGUGGGGCUGGUAACUGGGACGAAGUCGUAACAA